RNAcentral lists this long non-coding RNA (728 nucleotides) under Calidris pugnax (ruff). RNAcentral's name for it is "lncRNA (ENSCPUG00000016866.1)". The record is from RNAcentral. Lineage: Eukaryota; Metazoa; Chordata; Aves; Charadriiformes; Scolopacidae.
UCUCUUGGGGGAUGAAUCUUCCUCCCAGUGUGUGAGCAUUCCCUGGGCUCUGACUGCCCUUUAAAGGCCACACAGAUGUUCACAAGUUAUAAUUGUACUUCCAGAUGUAAUUCAGAGGUGGGGAGAAAAGGGGAUGAAUUUUGAGGCAGGGGCUGAUUUUCUUCUAUUUUUUUCUGUUUAUUUUGGAGAGUGGAAGUAAGCCAACAGAAAUCACAGGGAAUAAUGCAAAGGAUGUUUCUCAAAUUGCUUUUUAGGAGGGAGAGAAACUGUGCCAGAAUGAAUGACUGCUGUAGAGUAGAGCACAUGAGCCAGUUCAGCCUAUGUAAAAUAGGAGUUUAUCAUAUCACUGAAAGGAGUUCUCAUCACCCUGGGAAGAAGAAAUUUCACUGCAAUUCAGACAUCUUUAUGACAUAUUAGUGUACCAUGGAUUCAGACAUGCCAUGUCCUACCAACCCAAGAAACUUCAACCAUGCCCUUCAAUUCAGGAUCCGUGGGAACUCCUCUGCACUCCUGUGACUUCAUGCAGCUGCUGGCUGUCCAGUGCUAAUGCCACCUCUAGGGUGCCUAUAAGGCCAGCAUGUUAAAGCACUUUAUUUUCAGUUUAAACCUCGUGAAAGAUAGGAGGAAUUGGUGAAAUUAUCGAAGAUUUUCAGUCUAAGAGAAAGGUAACUGAAUUCAGAGGCUUCCUUUACAAUGACAAUGUAUUCAUCUGCCAGUACAUUGGUAAC